RNAcentral lists this ribosomal RNA (441 nucleotides) under uncultured bacterium. Its description in RNAcentral is "partial 16S ribosomal RNA". It matches the Rfam family "Bacterial small subunit ribosomal RNA", at positions 338 to 795 of the family's 1533-position model. The record is from RNAcentral.
CCUACGGGAGGCUGCAGUGGGGAAUAUUGCACAAUGGGGGAAACCCUGAUGCAGCGACGCCGCGUGAGUGAAGAAGUACUUCGGUAUGUAAAGCUCUAUCAGCAGGGAAGAAAAAAGACGGUACCUGACUAAGAAGCCCCGGCUAACUACGUGCCAGCAGCCGCGGUUAUACGGAGGGGGCAAGCGUUAUCCGGAUUUACUGGGUGUAAAGGGAGCGUAGUCGGUGCGUUAAGUCUGAAGUGAAAGCCCGGGGCUUAACCCCGGGACUGCAUUGGAAACUGGCGCGCUAGAGGGCUGGAGAGGUAAGUGGAAUUCCUAGUGUAGCGGUGAAAUGCGUAGAGAUUAGGAGGAACACCAGUGGCGAAGGCGGCUUACUGGACAGUAACUGACGUUGAGGCUCGAAAGCGUGGGGAGCAAACAGGAUUAGAUACCCGAGUAGUC